Molecule: small RNA, 22 nt
Filed under: Arabidopsis thaliana (thale cress)
Lineage: Eukaryota; Viridiplantae; Streptophyta; Magnoliopsida; Brassicales; Brassicaceae
Description: Ath_wt_18942
Source: RNAcentral
CAUUGUCAGGUGGGGAGUUUGG